Non-coding RNA from Oryza punctata, 204 nucleotides. Lineage: Eukaryota; Viridiplantae; Streptophyta; Magnoliopsida; Poales; Poaceae. The record is from Rfam.
AAAGAACACAGUUUUGCGUUUUUGUGUCUAACAUUUGACCGUCCGUCUUAUUUGAAAAAAAAUAUGAUUGGUAUUUUCAUUGUUAUUAGAUGAUAAAACAUGAAUAGUACUUUAAGCGUGACUAUUUUUUUAAUUUUUUCAUAAAUUUUUCAAAUAAGACGGAUGGUCAAACGUUGGAUACGGAAACCCACAGCUGCACUUAAA